Molecule: transfer RNA, 69 nt
Filed under: Rattus norvegicus (Norway rat)
Lineage: Eukaryota; Metazoa; Chordata; Mammalia; Rodentia; Muridae
Rfam family: tRNA
About the family: Transfer RNA (tRNA) molecules are approximately 80 nucleotides in length. Their secondary structure includes four short double-helical elements and three loops (D, anti-codon, and T loops).
Source: Rfam by way of RNAcentral
GGAGAUUUAGCUCAGAGGUAGAGCGCUUGCCUAGCAAGCGCAAGGCCCUGGGUUCGGUCCCCAGCUCUG